RNAcentral lists this ribosomal RNA (420 nucleotides) under Triticum aestivum (bread wheat). Its description in RNAcentral is "partial small subunit ribosomal RNA". Lineage: Eukaryota; Viridiplantae; Streptophyta; Magnoliopsida; Poales; Poaceae. The record is from RNAcentral.
AUGAGCUUCAGUGUCCCUGGUGGUUUGGUUGACGGUUUUAUUCAGCGGUCGCAGGGCCGGCUGCAUUAUGCCAAUUUUCAGAGAGGUGGAGAUAGUGUCAUUAGAUUGGUAGUUUAUGUUCUGAACGACUAUCAAAGCAGAAAAUGGAUAUUGAAGCACAGCAUCGAAGCUUCACACAUAUUUCGAGGGAUGGAUGCCUACCUUCUUGGUCGUUUUGGAUGGGCUGCGAUGGAUUUUGGUUGGAUUGCGAUUCAUCCGGAAUGCAACACGAUAUUCUUCACUGCUGGGUGUUAUACCACAUUCAUGUGCUAUAAUAUGGAUCUUCGACAAGUCAAAGUGAUCUCCAAUCUGGAAGAUGGCCAGCCGCCAUAUCUGCCAUAUGUGCCAUUGUAUGCAGAGUUACAGUCAUUGCAAAUUUGA